Molecule: transfer RNA, 85 nt
Filed under: Albidovulum sp.
Lineage: Bacteria; Pseudomonadati; Pseudomonadota; Alphaproteobacteria; Rhodobacterales; Paracoccaceae
Description: tRNA-Leu
Rfam family: tRNA
About the family: Transfer RNA (tRNA) molecules are approximately 80 nucleotides in length.
Source: RNAcentral
GCGGGUGUGGCGGAAUUGGCAGACGCGCCGGACUCAAAAUCCGGUUCCGCAAGGAGUGUCGGUUCGAUCCCGACCACCCGCACCA